GUGCCAGCACCGCGGUAAUACCGGCCGCCCGAGUGAUGGCCGAUCUUAUUGGGCCUAAAGCGUCCGUAGCUGGCUGCGCAAGUCCGUCGGGAAAUCCACUCGCCCAACGAGUGGGCGUCCGACGGAAACUGCACAGCUUGGGACCGGAAGGCUCGAAGGGUACGUCCGGGGUAGGAGUGAAAUCCCGUAAUCCUGGACGGACCACCGAUGGGGAAACCACGUCAAGAGACCGGACCCGACGGUGAGGGACGAAAGCCAGGGUCUCGAACCGGAUUAGAAACCCGGGUAGUCC
This 292-nucleotide ribosomal RNA is filed under the name uncultured bacterium. RNAcentral describes it as "partial 16S ribosomal RNA". It matches the Rfam family "Archaeal small subunit ribosomal RNA", at positions 455 to 747 of the family's 1478-position model. The record is from RNAcentral.